Molecule: ribosomal RNA, 442 nt
Filed under: uncultured bacterium
Lineage: Bacteria
Description: partial 16S ribosomal RNA
Rfam family: Bacterial small subunit ribosomal RNA
Source: RNAcentral
CUACGGGACGCAGCAGUGGGGAAUAUUGGACAAUGGACCAAAAGUUUGAUCCAGCAAUUCUGUGUGCACGAUGACGGUCUUCGGAUUGUAAAGUGCUUUCAGUUGGGAAGAAAAAAAUGACGGUACCAACAGAAGAAGCGACGGCUAAAUACGUGCCAGCAGCCGCGGUAAUACGUAUGUCGCAAGCGUUAUCCGGAUUUAUUGGGCGUAAAGCGCGUCUAGGUGGUUUGAUAAGUCUGAUGUGAAAAUGCGGGGCUCAACUCCGUAUUGCGUUGGAAACUGUCAAACUAGAGUAUCGGAGAGGUGGGCGGAACUACAAGUGUAGAGGUGAAAUUCGUAGAUAUUUGUAGGAAUGCCGAUAGAGAAGUCAGCUCACUGGACGAAUACUGACACUGAAGCGCGAAAGCAUGGGGAGCAAACAGGAUUAGAUACCCUCGUAGUC